Molecule: ribosomal RNA, 851 nt
Filed under: uncultured Oxalobacteraceae bacterium
Lineage: Bacteria; Pseudomonadati; Pseudomonadota; Betaproteobacteria; Burkholderiales; Oxalobacteraceae
Description: bacterial SSU rRNA
Rfam family: Bacterial small subunit ribosomal RNA
Source: RNAcentral
GGCCUAACACAUGCAAGUCGAACGGCAGCGCGGGGCAACCUGGCGGCGAGUGGCGAACGGGUGAGUAAUAUAUCGGAACGUACCCUGGAGUGGGGGAUAACGUAGCGAAAGUUACGCUAAUACCGCAUACGAUCUAAGGAUGAAAGCAGGGGACCGCAAGGCCUUGUGCUCCUGGAGCGGCCGAUAUCUGAUUAGCUAGUUGGUGGGGUAAAGGCCUACCAAGGCAUCGAUCAGUAGCUGGUCUGAGAGGACGACCAGCCACACUGGAACUGAGACACGGUCCAGACUCCUACGGGAGGCAGCAGUGGGGAAUUUUGGACAAUGGGCGCAAGCCUGAUCCAGCAAUGCCGCGUGAGUGAAGAAGGCCUUCGGGUUGUAAAGCUCUUUUGUCAGGGAAGAAACGGUGAGGGCUAAUAUCCUUUGCUAAUGACGGUACCUGAAGAAUAAGCACCGGCUAACUACGUGCCAGCAGCCGCGGUAAUACGUAGGGUGCAAGCGUUAAUCGGAAUUACUGGGCGUAAAGCGUGCGCAGGCGGUUUUGUAAGUCUGUCGUGAAAUCCCCGGGCUCAACCUGGGAAUUGCGAUGGAGACUGCAAGGCUAGAAUCUGGCAGAGGGGGGUAGAAUUCCACGUGUAGCAGUGAAAUGCGUAGAGAUGUGGAGGAACACCGAUGGCGAAGGCAGCCCCCUGGGUCAAGAUUGACGCUCAUGCACGAAAGCGUGGGGAGCAAACAGGAUUAGAUACCCUGGUAGUCCACGCCCUAAACGAUGUCUACUAGUUGUCGGGUUUUAAUUAACUUGGUAACGCAGCUAACGCGUGAAGUAGACCGCCUGGGGAGUACGGUCGCAAGAU